This 257-nucleotide ribosomal RNA is filed under the name uncultured bacterium. RNAcentral describes it as "partial 16S ribosomal RNA". It matches the Rfam family "Bacterial small subunit ribosomal RNA", at positions 524 to 776 of the family's 1533-position model. The record is from RNAcentral.
UACGUAGGGGGGCAAGCGUUGUCCGGAUUUAUUGGGCGUAAAGAGCGUGUAGGCGGCCUGAAAGGUCAGCUGUGAAAAACUCGAGGCUCAACCUCGAGACGUCGGUUGAAACCAUCUGGCUAGAGUCCGGAAGAGGAGUGUGGAAUUCCCGGUGUAGCGGUGAAAUGCGCAGAUAUCGGGAAGAACACCCGUGGCGAAGGCGGCACUCUGGGACGGUACUGACGCUGAGACGCGAAAAGCGUGGGGGAGCGAACAGG